Molecule: ribosomal RNA, 450 nt
Filed under: uncultured microorganism
Description: bacterial SSU rRNA
Rfam family: Bacterial small subunit ribosomal RNA
Source: RNAcentral
UGGCUGCAGUGAGGAAUUUUGGACAAUGGGGGAAACCCUGAUCCAGCGACGCCGUGUGUGGGAUGAAUCGGUUAUACCGUGUAAACCACUGUCAGAUGGGAAAAAAAGAAUCUUUUGGAUUCUGGGAUUGUACCAUCAGAGGAAGGACCGGCUAACUACGUGCCAGCAGCCGCGGUAAUACGUAGGGUCCGAGCGUUGUCCGGAAUUACUGGGUAUAAAGGGUGCGCAGGCGGGUAUUUGCGUCGGGUGUUAAAGAUCAGAGCUUAACUCUGGGAAUGCAUCCGAAACGAGAUAUCUUGAGUAUGAGAGAGGUAGGUAGAAUUCAUGGUGUAGCGGUGAAAUGCGUAGAUAUCAUGAGGAAUACCAGUGGCGAAGGCGGCCUACUGGCUCAUUACUGACGCUCAGGCACGAAAGCGUGGGGAGCAAACAGGAUUAGAUACCCCUGUAGUC